UUCCGUAGGGUAACCUGCGGAAGGAUCAUUACAGUAUUCUUUUGCCAGCGCUUAACUGCGCGGCGAAAAACCUUACACACAGUGUCUUUUUGAUACAGAACUCUUGCUUUGGUUUGGCCUAGAGAUAGGUUGGGCCAGAGGUUUAACAAAACACAAUUUAAUUAUUUUUAUUGAUAGUCAAAUUUUGAAUUAAUCUUCAAAACUUUCAACAACGGAUCUCUUGGUUCUCGCAUCGAUGAAGAACGCAGCGAAAUGCGAUAAGUAAUAUGAAUUGCAGAUUUUCGUGAAUCAUCGAAUCUUUGAACGCACAUUGCGCCCUCUGGUAUUCCAGAGGGCAUGCCUGUUUGAGCGUCAUUUCUCUCUCAAACCCCCGGGUUUGGUAUUGAGUGAUACUCUUAGUCGAACUAGGCGUUUGCUUGAAAAGUAUUGGCAUGGGUAGUACUGGAUAGUGCUGUCGUCCUCUCAAUGUAUUAGGUUUAUCCAACUCGUUGAAUGGUGUGGCGAGAUAUUUCUGGUAUUGUUGGCCCGGCCAUACAACAACCAAACAAGUUGACCUCAAAU
Molecule: ribosomal RNA, 561 nt
Filed under: Meyerozyma caribbica
Lineage: Eukaryota; Fungi; Ascomycota; Pichiomycetes; Serinales; Debaryomycetaceae
Description: eukaryotic LSU rRNA
Rfam family: 5.8S ribosomal RNA (bases 201-354)
Source: RNAcentral